RNAcentral lists this ribosomal RNA (377 nucleotides) under uncultured bacterium. RNAcentral's name for it is "bacterial SSU rRNA". It matches the Rfam family "Bacterial small subunit ribosomal RNA", at positions 963 to 1344 of the family's 1533-position model. The record is from RNAcentral.
GAAGAACCUUACCUACCCUUGACAUGUCUGGAAUCCCGAAGAGAUUUGGGAGUGCUCGAAAGAGAACCGGAACACAGGUGCUGCAUGGCCGUCGUCAGCUCGUGUCGUGAGAUGUUGGGUUAAGUCCCGCAACGAGCGCAACCCUUGUCAUUAGUUGCUACGAAAGGGCACUCUAAUGAGACUGCCGGUGACAAACCGGAGGAAGGUGGGGAUGACGUCAGGUCCUCAUGGCCCUUAUGGGUAGGGCUUCACACGUCAUACAAUGGUCGGGACAGAGGGCAGCCAACCCGCGAGGGGGAGCCAAUCCCAGAAACCCGAUCGUAGUCCGGAUUGCAGUCUGCAACUCGACUGCAUGAAGUCGGAAUCGCUAGUAAUCG